GCACAGAGGAUGUAUUAACCACACAUCUUCUAGCAAUGCGCUCAACUGGCAGAAAUGAUGCUGGGUAUGAUGUGUCUGUUCCCUGCAAGCCCCAAACUUCUAUUGGCUUUCCAUAAAAAUGUCUGUCCGGGUGGAGAUGAAGCCAGGAAACUUGUGCAAGAACAUGUUUAAAUGCCGUACCCUUUGACACAACAUUAACAACUAUAAACUGCUUUAUAAUGGCUGGUCGUAGUUCUGCUAGAGGGUCACGGACGGGUUCCUCAAAACUGUUAGUGUUUCCACAUCACGUAGCAUAAACACAUGCUGACCUUUAUGCUCUGCAUCUAUCGAUUGAGUAAGUUACAUUCGUAUAUGUUACCCGUUUACAUGUCAUGGCAAAACAUUCAACCUCAGUGACACAAGGGUACAUCUGAUGAUACAUUGUCAACAUUGCAUGUCUGUCAGACUCAAGAGUGUCUGGUGGAAUGGAGAAAGAGGCACCACUGUACAGGUUUCUAGGGAAAGUCGUUCUGCUGACACCAAAACACUGCUUUACAUAAAGCAUAUCAGCUGUUUCAUUGCACGACAAAGUCCCAACCAUUUGUCUUCCUAAAAUACUGGUCCUUCCGUAUAACAAUAACCUCGUAUGUGAUUGGAGGACCCUUAGACUCCUCGUCCAAUCACGUCUGAGGUCAUAGGCGUGACUGAUACAGCAGUACUUGCAAGACGAGCAUGCAAACGUGUUACUAUAUUCAGAAGAACUGUAUCUCCAGUUCCUUUGUUUGGUUUUUGCUGCUUCGUGAAUAAUGGCGGGACGACGUCUCGCGUUCAACUCGCCUUCAACUCCUCUCCGCGGUCACCAACUUUCGGCCAGUCCGCAGACAGACAGAAGAAGCUGCUGAAUGCUCUCAGUGGAUCGUCUCGUCAACUCCAACAACAAACCGCCGAUAUCAACGAGCGGUUCGCUCCACUGGAGCGUUCGGGACUCUGCGGGUUUCUGUCCAUGGAGGAGAGGAACCGACUCAAAGAAGAGGAGACGGGCGCACAAUCCCACGAUAGCGGAAGCGGUGCGCCGUCUUCACAACUCUGAGACGAACUACAGGCGCUACGAACCGGAGCAAGGGUCAGAUUUAAAGAAUAUGCUUUCAUUCUGCGGUAUAAGGAAUAUAUAUACGUAUGGAUACCGAUCAUAACUGUACAUGUUGUUUUCACAGACUAACCUCGCCUCAUAAUGAGGCGGUGACCUCGUAUUUGCUCCGGGAAAAGUCCAGAUUUAGACGACGUCAUUGUGUCCGCCUGUGAGACGUAUUUUGAGACGUACGCAGGAGCUUCAGCUGCGAAGGAUUCAGCGCGGAGUCGAGCGAGAAGAAAGAGGCUGCUGGAAUCGAGACAAAGUGUGCUGGCUGAUGACGAGGUGGAACGCUGGAAAUCCGCCACCGUAGAGCUCAC
Gasterosteus aculeatus aculeatus (three-spined stickleback) is the source of this 1428-nucleotide long non-coding RNA. Lineage: Eukaryota; Metazoa; Chordata; Actinopteri; Perciformes; Gasterosteidae. The record is from Ensembl.